Molecule: RNA transcript, 4378 nt
Organism: Eublepharis macularius
Lineage: Eukaryota; Metazoa; Chordata; Lepidosauria; Squamata; Eublepharidae
Gene: CCNDBP1
Gene name: cyclin D1 binding protein 1
Exons: 10
Source: RefSeq, a predicted model, not a curated record
GGAGGAUGGAGGCGGGCGAGGCGGCGGCGCUGCGGGAGCUGCGGGCGGCGAUGCGGGAGGCGCUGGCCGGGCUGCCAGGCGGCGGAGAGGCCCGGCGGGAAGGCGGCGGCGGCGGCGGCGGCGGCUUCGAGCGGGCCGGUGUCUGGGACGCCCUCGCGGCGGCCUGCCAGGCUGCCUCCCGGGCCGCCACCCAGCUGAGCCUGGCCGCCUCGGGGCCGGCCCGGGCCUGGCCGCCGCAGGAGGGCCGGGGGGCCUCGGGGGCCGGGCCGGGCGCCUCGCCGCGCCGCGCCCUUCUUCGCCCGCAGGAGCUGCAGUGGCUGAGCGGGGAGGCGCAGAGGUCGGUGCGGGCCGCGGGCGCCGCCUGCCGGGGGCUGCCGGCCGAGCAGGGCAGGACGCUGGGCGCCGCCGUGCGCCGGGCCGUGGCGGGCCUGGCCGAGGGGAUGCUGCGCCUGAGCGAGGCCCUGCUGCGCGCCCCGGCGCCGGAGAGCUCGGGUCCGGAGCGGCUGGUCUCCACCGGGGCCGUCUGGGAGGCCUGCGAGCGGCUGGCCGGCCUGCCUCGAGAUAACCAGGCGGCCGUGGCGGCGGCUGUGGCCUCGGCGCUGGCGGUUGUCAAGGACGCCGUGGAGGAGAUGGAGCAGAAUGUCACGACAUUUGAUACGGUAUGGGGCAGGAGUUUAGCGGUGCUUCCGGAGGCCUCAGCUGCACCCGGCCUCCCUUCCGUUAGAGCCCUCUGGACGGAACAUGGACACUCCUUCCCUGGAGAUCCCCUGUGUGUGUGUGUGCAGGCGCUGGCAGAAGGUGGAGAUCCCGGCAGGGAUCCACUGGAGGAUGAAGAGAUGGGCUCCGGCGGGGACAGGGAUGUCUGCUGGACGGAGGCUGAGCGGCAGUUGCUUGGCCCCUGCAUGGGACUGGUGAAGGCAGCCAAAGCGUGCCUGAAGAAACUGCUGGGGGCAGUGAAAGCCCAGGGCAGAGUGGACACUGCCGAGCAGGUGGCUCAGCUGGAUGACCUGGCAGAAGCCGCUGGUGACGUCAGCCCCAGCGUGGACGAGUUGGUGCUCAGCACGUAUCCUCCUGUGAACCAGCUCACUCUGCGGCUGAAUGCUGGGAAGCUGGCCUCGGUGUUGAAGAAGGUGCUGGAGAUUGUCCGGGCCAGCCACGUGUGUGUUCCCUCUGAAGAGAGCUGGGUGCAGUUCCUCGCCGGAGCAAUCGAUCACAAUAUGGACAAAAUCAAGGACUUCACGCAGGGGGCACUUUGACGUUGCGCGUGGGGGGCACUGAGGACUUGCCCCACUGCUUCUGUGGGUGUAGAAGAGGCAGAAGGUUUCCCGGGGGAGGGAAUGAAGCCCGGCAGGCCAAGCGGUUCCUGGGGGCUGGGGAAGGGUGUGUGUGUGUGUGCUGCGCCCAGCCCUUGUGCAGGCAGUGGUGGACCCCAAGCAAUAAAGAACCUCUGGAGCCACGUGGGCCUGUCUGGUGUCAUGCGAGGCUGGAGCCAGAGGCGCCCCCCCCCCCAGGCUCUGAGCUGCCUCGGGGCAGUAAUGAGGUGGUCUGCUUCACGUGCCUUUCGUGGGAAAUGAGCAGUGCUGGAGGGGGCUGCUCUGGGGGUCAGGCCUCUGCUGCAGGCCCCGGGUUGCCUGGGAGUUUGAGAGGGGCUGGAGCAGGCUGAAGGGCUCGGAGCUGCCUGCUUGCACAGGCUUCAGGUGGAAGGGGGGGCCUGGGCCCAAGCCCCCCUCCUCGGCGCGUGCUGUCAAGGGCCGUUGGGCAGGCAGGUGUGCCUUCUUGCGCUCCUCUGGGUGGAGAAGCUGCUCCCACGUAUUCCCACCCCACCCCACCGCCGCCAUUGGAAGCAGUUUCAUGGGUGGGCGUUGGCCUUACUGUGUGUGCCGCAAGCCAGGUCUUCUCCUCCAGCUGGGAAAGGGCCUGAUGAGGGCUGACAGCAGCGUACCCCCGCAGCCUGGGUAUGGGGUGGGGAAAGGGUGGGCACAGUCAGUCACCAGUUCCCUGCUAGAUUUCCAGUUCGCUGACCCUGACCUUGGCUGCCUUUUCUGACGCACCGGCUGGAUGCUGGUGCCUCUGCCUUGGGUGGGCCUUGUGCAGCCUGCCUUCAGGGUGCCUUCGCUUGCCUGUCCAUCUCCCCCGUUUGGCUGGCAGCAAGGGAUUCCUUGAUCUCUCUCUCCCAGCAUUUGCCUGUGAAGGAGAGGGCAGGCACUGCCCAGGCCUGGCGCUCACAAAUCCUUGUCUGAACUGGUGGGCAGGAGGCUGGACUCUAGCUCUGGGUGCAGGGGUAUGUGUGCGCGUGCUUGCGCCUCUCUCUGCCGCACAAGCUGCCUGCCUGCGAGUUCCACUUCAGUUCACCUUCUGCACAUGACGGGGGGGGGGGGUCCCAUUUCCCACUUCCCACACAAGCCAUCGAGGCUGGGAUUGACAAAAAUGUGUUCGUUCUGUUUUAACGGAGAGUCCAGAGGAUGUUUGCUGGCCCAUCACACAUCUCUGGGGCUCAGUGCGGUUUCCCCAUGGCUUUUCAGACCUGGUUUGUGGACCCUUAUUUUUGGGGUUUGUGGCAGGAAAGCCUGCAAUGGGACUGGCUGCUGAGGUGGUGGGUCACGGCUUGCUCUUGCUCUGUGGCCUGGCACAUUUUAAAAUGCCUGGAAAUGCUGUCCAUGCCCUGUUGUUUUCUGAUGACCAGUGCAAAGAGGAAAUGUUCAGUUAAAAUACCUGUUUUGUUAUGGGGGGUGGUGGUAAUUCUUUCUUUGAUGAAUUUUUAAAAAUAAUUACUAGAAUUUCUGUUAAUGCUUAAGGGUGAAACUGUUUCACCAGAUGAAUAAUUAAUUGGUUACACUGAAGUGGGGUGGGGGUGGGGGAGAAAGCGCCACUUCGUAACUUUUUGUGUUUAAGUGUAAUGGAGGCUGUUCCGGAGAAGGCGGAAGAGAGCGGAACAGCAGCGUGAUCCUGCCGAGCCGAGCAGGGUAGUGUCCUGGCUGUACCAAGAAAGGGGGGCACCAAUGCAGCCCUGUAGGUGCCCAGCUGAGUGCAGAGAUGGGGGGGGGCAGGGGGCCACCAGCUGGUCUAGUUGGUUCCCAGCGACCCUGGACCCAGAGCAAGAGAAAGGAGGAGGCAGCUGCCGGGAAGUGCCUGCACGUGCCUGUCUCAGAAUGCAGGGGAACAUAGAGAGGCACCCCCCCCCCGCCCCCCAUUGCCAGUAAGGGCUCAUCCACCCAUCCGGCAUUCUGCGCUGAGUGGGAGGGAAGUGUGGUGUGUGCGUGGUGGCCAACUGCCGCUCUAAUUCUGCCCCAUCACAGAGCAGGACUCCUUCAGCUCAGCCAAGGGCCCCUCUAGGCACCUGUGUAAAGAGGCAGUGCUGCCAGGCCAGGUCCCUACAGGAUGCCGUAGAAAUCUUAGAUCGCCGCUUGACAGCUGUGGUGAAAUGGUUGGAAAACAACAAAUUGAAAUUGAACUCAGACAAGACAGAAGUGAUGCUUGUUGGGAAGGCAGAGAACUUGAAGGAUACUGUGCUCCCCCCUUUCAAUGGAGUGCGUUUGACCCUUGCAGACUCAAUUAAGAGCCUAGGGGUUAUACUGGAUCCAGCGUUAUUACUAGAAAAACAAGUCAGCAGUAAAAAAUGCUUUCUACCUCACUCUAGCCUGGAAGACGGCUUCUUAUCUCAACACGGCUGACCUGGCCACUUGGCUCCAUGCUAUGGUAACAUCAAGGCUUGGCUAUUGUCAUGCUCUAUACAUUGGCCUCCCAUCUAAGUUAACUAGGAGGCUCCAACUGGUGCGAAAUGCUGCAGCUUGACUGUUAUCAGGAGCGAGCAGGAGCUUGAACAUCUCUCCCAUCCUACAGUCACUCCAUUAAACUAACUAGGAGGCUCCAAUUGGUGCGGAAUGCUGCCGCUCGACUAUUAUCAGGAGCGAGCAAGAGCUUGAACAUCUCUCCCAUCCUAGUCGCUCCAUUGGUUACCCAUCGGCUACCAUGCUCAGUUCAAGGCAUUAGUUAUUACAUACAAAGCUCAGCAGCAGCCCGCACAAGGGCUUUCUCUGUGGUGGCCCCCGCCCUGUGGAAUAGCCUGCCUGAGGAGGUCAGGACUGAGCCCCCACUCAAACAAUGCAAAACCAAACCAUUCAAAAAGGCUUUUUCCUCAAAUGUAUCAUAGGAAUGGGGUCUCAGAUGCUUCGCUAAUGAGUUAGGGACCAUAGACUUCAUCACUAUAUUGCCUUACAUAUUAUCUGCUGCUUUAAAUAUGUAUUCCUGUGUACCACCAGUGCGCCGUGUUGUCUAAUGUUAGUCCUAGAAUUGAUUAUGUUCUGCUUCAGUAUUUUUACUACUCUGUGUUGGACUCUUGCUACUACCAUGUCUUUUAAACUUGUAUCUAUUUACCCUA